Cyprinus carpio (common carp) is the source of this 1459-nucleotide long non-coding RNA. The record is from Ensembl. NCBI's taxonomy places the organism in Eukaryota, Metazoa, Chordata, Actinopteri, Cypriniformes, Cyprinidae.
AUGAUUACACUGGAUAUAGGCCAAUUCCUGAGAGCUCGCAAUCCUCUCUGUUGCGCGCGGCCGCUCUCGCUCUCCUUCAAAGGCUCGCUGCCAAACAUGCAGCAGUUUCCAUGGCGACGGCGAGCGGAACAUAAAAAGCAGGGCGGUGCUACAUGCAGAUUCAUAUUCCCAUCAGCUCAACAGGGAAUAAUGGGAAUAGAAGCAGUCUGGGAUUCCGAUGAAAGCAGGAGUGGAAAUACGUGUGGAGACACCCUGCACUCCCAAACACAACCUCUGCUUAUCACUGGUUUAAAAUGGUUAACCCUCAAUAUCUCGCCUGCCCAGCUAACGAGGGACUUCUCAGAUCUUUUUCAGUAUCUUGGCAUCAUGUUGACAAAGUUUGGUGUGAAUUGUAUCAUUUUCGCAAGAGUAGUAUGCAGCUAUAUUUUUCCAAAGAUCCAUAUUCAAACCAAAAUUAACAUUCUGGCAAGAUUACAUCAAAGUUAUGAACAAACGUUCUUCCAGUAACAUUAAUAGAAUGUUCGUUCAACGUUAUCUAGUCUAUAUUAAUGUUCUCAAAUUGUUAUCUAUUCAUCGUUUAUAGAAUGUUUCAUUUCUGAAACGUUCAUGUAACAUUUUUUAAAUGUUACUAGUUUCAGAACAUUCAGAAAACAUUCUAAUGUAAUGUUCCCUUAAUGUUCGCAUAACCAAGAAAAACUGGACGUUUUGAAUAUUCUAAGAACAUUCAGGAAUAAUGUUUUCAAAACUAAAUGGGAAUGUUAGCAAACGUUCCUUAUAAAACCAUUAGAGACAGACCUACUGUGAGCUACGAGGUUGCCAAUCGAUCGAAUAUGCUUUUAUUGAAGACAUCGGCCUGCAUAAUUUCAGAAUAUUUAUUUUAUCUAAUGUGUUUAAUAGCAGAAUUUCUGGUGAAAAACAACAUUACCCAUGAUUCCGAAGAGAAAUCUCCAUUAAUCAGAUAAUCGAAACAAGAAAAAUCACACCAAAACAACUCUUUAAAACACACUUUUUUUUGUAACAAACUUAAUCUUUCUAUAUACGGUACAUAAUCAACAGUUUUUAUAUUUACCCACUUUUUGAUUUGUCGUUUGCAAUGCCUCAUGGGAUUGUAGUUCUUUCCCUCAUUAAAGCUGUUUCUCUGCAUUUUAAAGAGUUAUUUUUGCGUGACUCUUAUUUUGAUUCUCUGAUUGAUGGCGAUUUCUCAUCAGAAAUAUGGAUAAUAUAGCUUUUCACCAUGAAUUCUGCUAUCAAACACAGUCUGUGACCUUGUUGUCCAGUACUAUUUUGCUGCAGAUCAGAGUUUGUAAUGCUGCGAUUCACCUUGUAGCUGUGUGGUUGGGUUCUUGGCUUAUGACUCUCAACCAAAAACUUUCUGAACCCCCUAUGAGAAAACAACUAAUUGGAAAAAUACUUUUUAAAACCAAGGCUGCUAAAAUAAAAGUGGGUGGCCACUGUUGCA